CCUACGGGAGGCAGCAGUGAGGAAUUUUCCGCAAUGGGCUAACGCCUGACGGAGCAAUGCCACGUGGAGGAGGAAGGCCUGUGGGUCGUAAACUCCUUUUCUCAGAGAAGAAGAUCUGACGGUAUCUGAGGAAUAAGCAUCGGCUAACUCUGUGCCAGCAGCCGCGGUAAUACAGGGGAUGCAAGCGUUAUCCGGAAUUAUUGGGCGUAAAGCGUCCUGAGGUGGCUUACCCAGUCGACUGUGAAAGCUCAAGGCUCAACCUUGAAACGGCAGUCGAAACUUGUAAGCUUGAGUACGGUAGAGGCAGAGGGAAUUCCCGGAGGAGAGGUGAAAUUCGUAGAUAUCGGGAGGAAGGCCAAAGGCGAAAGCACUCUGCUGGGCCGAUUACUGACACUGACAGACGAAAGCUAGGGGAGCGAAAGGGAUUAGAUACCCCUGUAGUCCUAGCCGUAAACGAUGGAUACUAAGUGUUGCGCGACUCAACUCGUGCAGUGCUGCAGCUAACGCGGUAAGUAUCCCGCCUGGGGAGUAGUGCUCGCAAGAGUAGAACUCAAAGGAAUUGACGGNGNGAGAGNGACGAGACGACGACGAGGAGAGG
RNAcentral lists this ribosomal RNA (598 nucleotides) under uncultured bacterium. Its description in RNAcentral is "bacterial SSU rRNA". It matches the Rfam family "Bacterial small subunit ribosomal RNA", at positions 338 to 961 of the family's 1533-position model. The record is from RNAcentral.